AGACUUAUCCCGAGGACAAGCGCAGUCAAGGGUGACUCGGGGGCUACGACCUUUCGACAUACCAGUGAGUGGGCUUUUGGUUUUAAAUAUAUAUGUAUAUGCUUGGUAUAUUUCCCAGAAAAUGUAUUUAAAUGAAUUAUGACUUAAAUUGCCAUGCCAAAUGUUUUACAUUUAGAAUAUGCAUAUGAUGUUUCCAUAUAUAUAUUUGUGGUGAUGUGGACGCUCAGGUAAGCCCCAAGUGAGUUUAUGAAUUGUGAAUGUGAAUAACGGUUGUGAUUAAUUGAGAAACAUUGAGCUCAUAAACCUGCACCCCGGUGUUAGUGAUUUAGCCAGAGAUAUAGCACAGGCUUGUAUAUAAUGUCACCUCCUGCACCAUAUGCUCACAUUGGAUCCAAUUUAGGUGCACAGUCUUGUCGUACAGACCAUCAUAGGUGGUUCCGACUCGUAGGUGACUAGCGAUUUAUCGCACAACUAUCAUGAGAGCGUAGCAUUGAGCAUAAUUAUAUUACACCCAGUCUUGUCGUACAGACAUUUAUAGUGGUUCCGAGUCAUGUGCAGUGUAGUGCCGUAUGGGUCACUUGUAGUGACUCCGGCUAGAUUGACUAAUGGGCUAUGAAUUCAGCCAUACAGACUUCUGUAGGGGUUUCGGCUAAUAUGUUAUUUUUCCAUGAAUUUAUUAUCACCUAAGUUACCUAUUCUGUUUCAUAUUUUGGCAUGGCAUACUUACGAAAAUGGAUAUGUGAAGCAUGAAUUGAAAUAUAUGUGUAUAUAUACUUAUAUAUUUAUAUUCCAUUUCUGGGAAAACUAUACAUGAUUUACUGCGAAGGGUUAGAGUAUUUGAUAAUGAAAUGGUUUUGAAAAGCUUUGUUUUUGCCCACUCACACUUUCUGUUUUGCGCUCCUCCAAGUUUUAGAUAAGCUUGUUCGUUGGUGGCUCACGAGGAUUGACUAGAGGUUAUGACAGACUAUCACAAAUGUAAGGCAUCUUUGGAUGCCGUUUAAUUAGUACUUGUUUUCUGGACUAAACUUAAGCUACUUAUGCUCUGAUUGUGUAUUCACACAUUUUCUAGUACUUACCUUAGCUAGUACUCUUAUGAAUUAGUUUUUUUAUUAUUCGUAUUCUCUAUUAUAAUUAUUGCUUCCGCACUGUGCACAUGGCUACGUCACCUUCACGUGACAGCCAACAAGCCUUGAUUCGGGUCGCGGUGUGUCAGGAGCAUUUGAACAACAAUAUUAUUUGAACGAGGAUUCAAGCACCAUUUCUUGUUGUAUCAUGCUAUUCCAUAACUAUAUAAUGAGCAAAGUUUUAAAAUAUGCUAAGCACUAGUCCGGUGACGGGCAUGGCCUAACGCUUAGGCGAUGACCUAGGCAGAUUUGAAUAAUUUAUUACAUAUCGUAUAAAUAAUUGUCUAUUUAUUAUAUAACUUAUAAUAUCUAAAAACAUAAAGUAUAACAUUGACUAUAAAACAUAUAAUAUAUAAAAAUAUUGAAAUUUUCUUUAUUACUUUGUUGAAUUUGAUGGUAAGAGAUAAAAAUCAAAUGUUACAAGUUUGUAAUACUUUACAAACAUUUUUUUUUUAUGCUCAUAUAAAUUUAUAGUGAGUUUUAAGAGAACUAACAAUGUCAAACAACUGACUUAAAAAAUAUUGAAAAUGUGGGCAAAUUAAUCAGACAAUAAUUGAAAAAUAAAACAAAUCUGAAUAUAAAUUAGCACAUUAAAUAGCAAGCUAGGUGGCACAAAUUGACUGGGUACAAUAGUUAAAAAAAAAUGGUAAAUUACAUUCUAAAACAUCAACUUUGGGUCGCAUAACAAUCUCAUACCUCAUGUUUUAAGCAUUUCAAUGUCAUACAUCAACUUACGAAUUUAUUACAAUGUUAGACCUCCGUCAAAUUUUUCUAUUAUGUUUGAUGUUAAAUGCUGACAUGGAACAUGUGGGUCGAUUCCUUGCCUAACUGAACUCCACGCUGGCUUAAUUCCUCCAUGUGGAAUAAGAAGAAAUUUGGGUAAAUUACAUAGUAGCCCCUCAGGUUUGAGGUCUAUUGCAAUCUUAUACAACAUCUUUAAAACAUUUCA
RNAcentral lists this long non-coding RNA (2073 nucleotides) under Malus domestica (apple). Its description in RNAcentral is "long non-coding RNA (MDOM_LNC005950)". Lineage: Eukaryota; Viridiplantae; Streptophyta; Magnoliopsida; Rosales; Rosaceae. The record is from RNAcentral.